UGUAUAUCCCCUAAACUCCUCACCUAUAUCACAAAAACCUGCCAAGGCAGAAUACAUUCCCUUGGGAAAGGAGCUUUGGCGGGCAAGCAGGCAUCGGGUCCCAUCUGACACCAGCGUGAUCGCCACAGGAGCCAUCUAGGAAAGGGGAAUGGAAACUGAGAUGCUGGCACUUUGGGCCCUGCCAAUGAGCUAAAGCAGUGUAUAAUUAAGGAAUUGCACAGGCUUCCUUCCCCAGGACAAAGCAGCGCACAGUCUUCUUGGAUUACUGUCCUCUUACAGCAAUAAUUACCUGUGGAUAAUAGAUUAUAUUAUUGGAAGGGCACACACGCUUGCUGCCAGCCACGUUCUUCUUGGUGGGCUGCCCACUUCUGCUGCAGAACUGAUGAGCAUCAUGCCAGCGGAGAAGAGCUUGAGCCUAGGAACACAAUGAUGGGCCUGGUGUCAUUUGGAGAGAAUGCGGGGCUCAUCUUUAACAGCACUGGGCCUAGUGUCUGGAACAACUCACAGAAAAAUGCCAAUCUCUUUACAGCUCACGUAAUUUAAAUGGUUACUGUUUAAAUUUCAGGACAAGUAAACUAACUGAACAUAUUCCUCUAGCAUCAGAAAUCUGAAUAAAAGAAAGCAUAUUUUUA
This 632-nucleotide long non-coding RNA is filed under the name Homo sapiens (human). Its description in RNAcentral is "novel transcript to NUDT13 (ENSG00000272599.2)". The record is from RNAcentral. Lineage: Eukaryota; Metazoa; Chordata; Mammalia; Primates; Hominidae.